UGAGGAAUAUUGCACAAUGGGGGGAACCCUGAUGCAGCAACGCCGCGUGAGCGAUGAAGGCCUUCGGGUCGUAAAGCUAUUUUCUGUGGGAUGAGACAAGGACAGUACCACAGGAAUAAGUCUCGGCUAACUACGUGCCAGCAGCCGCGGUAAAACGUAGGAGGCGAGCGUUAUCCGGAUUCACUGGGCGUAAAGGGCAAGUAGGCGGUAGGCAAAGUUGGGCGUGACAAAUCUCGGCUUAACUGAGAGGGGUCGUUCAAAACUAGUCUACUGGAGGGCAGGAGAGGAAGGCGGAAUUCCGAGUGUAGCGGUGGAAUGCUCAGAUAUUCGGAAGAACACCAGUGGCGAAGGCGGCCUUCUAGCCUGCACCUGACGCUGAGAGGCGAAAGCUAGGGGAGCGAACGG
Molecule: ribosomal RNA, 405 nt
Filed under: uncultured bacterium
Lineage: Bacteria
Description: bacterial SSU rRNA
Rfam family: Bacterial small subunit ribosomal RNA
Source: RNAcentral